This 57-nucleotide transfer RNA is filed under the name Bos taurus (domestic cattle). It matches the Rfam family "tRNA", at positions 9 to 63 of the family's 71-position model. Rfam says of the family: Transfer RNA (tRNA) molecules are approximately 80 nucleotides in length. Their secondary structure includes four short double-helical elements and three loops (D, anti-codon, and T loops). Lineage: Eukaryota; Metazoa; Chordata; Mammalia; Artiodactyla; Bovidae. RNAcentral also lists the same sequence under 5 other names. The record is from Rfam by way of RNAcentral.
AGUCCAGUGGUUAAGACUCUGCACUUCCAAUGCAGGGGACACAGAUUCAAUCCCUGU